CUUAACCUACGCGAAGAUGAACAGGGGGACGUCGUCUUAGAGGAAGACCUUGAGGAACUAGAGAAGGAUGCCGAAUUCAUGGCACUGGCAAGGAUUCAUACCUCACGCACUUUCAGCCAUGGAGCCUUCUUUGGAGCCAUGAGGUCCGCGUGGAAUCUUGCCCAAGAAGUGGAAUUUAGAGCAAUCAAAGACAACCUCUUUCCAGUGCAACUAUACUGCUUGGUAGAUUGGGAAUAUGUGAUGCGUGACGGUCCGUGGUUAUUCUGUAACUGCCCGAUGUUGCUGGCUAGCUAUGAUGGUUGGUCGGAACUUGAGGAUACAGAGUUAUUUCACAUAUCAGGCAUGUGUGAGAAUCAUGAGCUUGAAGGAGAAGAUGCGCACAUGUAG
RNAcentral lists this ribosomal RNA (387 nucleotides) under Triticum aestivum (bread wheat). RNAcentral describes it as "partial small subunit ribosomal RNA". Lineage: Eukaryota; Viridiplantae; Streptophyta; Magnoliopsida; Poales; Poaceae. The record is from RNAcentral.